This 231-nucleotide ribosomal RNA is filed under the name uncultured bacterium. RNAcentral's name for it is "partial 16S ribosomal RNA". It matches the Rfam family "Bacterial small subunit ribosomal RNA", at positions 99 to 333 of the family's 1533-position model. The record is from RNAcentral.
CGGACGGGUGAGUAAUGCUUGGGAAUCUAGCUUAUGGAGGGGGAUAACUACGGGAAACUGUAGCUAAUACCGCGUAAUAUCGAAAGAUUAAAGUGUGGGACCUUCGGGCCACAUGCCAUAGGAUGAGCCCAAGUGGGAUUAGGUAGUUGGUGAGGUAAAGGCUCACCAAGCCGACGAUCUCUAGCUGGUCUGAGAGGAUGACCAGCCACACUGGGACUGAGACACGGCCCA